CAGGAUACCGAAAUAAAGUCAGAAUUUUUUUAAUGCAAAUAAUGAAUUAUGUACUGGUUAAUACUACACCAUUAUUAAAACUCUUGUUGUUUGGGAUUUUUUUAUUUUGAAAAUUCCAUUUUGACAAUAUUUUUCUCCUACAUAUUUUGCAUUCCUUGUUCAUCUCCCUCAUAACUCACAGGAAGGUGAUUUCACACACUGCUCAGCACACUGCAUAGGAACUGUUGAUUUCUUGAAUAAGCUACAGAUGCCUUCAUCAGUUUUUCAGUUUCAGACUUCUUGAAAUAUUCAGUUUGCAAAACUGGUAUUUUACUUGUAAUCUGUCUUUAUAAACUCACAGAAGAUCUCUUGUAAUGCACUGUGUAUGAGUUUGCUCUUUUCCUCCUUAUCUUCAUAUAUCCAUACAACAUUCACAGACGUUGUGUGUAUCACAUACAACAGUAUAUUCUAAAUGUUAUUCCUUGCAUUUUAAAGUCAUUUUGCCUCAAGUAAUUCAGCUUUAUCAGAUUAAAGUUCACAGUCAUGUGGAAUCAAUAUUUUUAUAUGAAUAUAUAUAACUUCUUAAAAAACUAUCUGAGCAAUGCUUAUGAAUAUAUCUUACUGAUUUCUACUAAAUAUGAUAAAUUUUUCCUUGCUGUUCCUACCUCAAGGAAAUCAGUAGGAAACUUAUCACAAGUCACAGUGGAUCUUUGGACCAAACUUAUAAAACUAUGGUAUUAUCAUUAAAGUUAGUGCUCAACAAUGACCAUGACAGAAUGAAGAUGGCCUCAAUUGUUAUGUAAUUCUACCAUAGUAAGUAGAAUUAAGCAACAGAAGUAGUAUGCAUGUUACCUGUAAGAAAUCUUGUCUAUUUUUUCAUGAAUGCCUGCAUACCAAUUUCUACCAGAAUGCAGUUAAAUUUCUGCUAAAGAACAUCUGAUGGGAUAGUUCUGCCUAUUGCAAUGAUACAAGCAUUGUAAGAGUUUCUUAUCAGACUGAAAAAUGAACUCACAUACAUUAUAAUAGUGAACAUGACUGGAAAAUUUCCAAUUCAAAAUAUUAAUUAUUGAGUUUAUUCAAAACAACAGGUAAUACCAUCAAGAGAAUUGUUUCAAAUUUAUCUAGGUGACAACAUUUUAGUUUUUCAGUUUUGGGUGAAAAAUCAAAAUACUAAGUCAUUCAUGCAAAAUGGAAUUUUGGAAAACAUCCAUUUUAAAUAAAAAAUUCAGAUUUGAAACUUAAUUUCUCAAUUUCAUUCCAUCUCAUUCCAUUUCAUUAAUUUAAAUACCAAAUGAACUAAUUCACGUGUUAUACACUAUGAAAAAAUUCAGUUGAUCAAAACUAGCCCCUUACUGAAUACAGUUUCAAUUCAUCAUGUUCUUUACAGCUCUACAUUUCCAAUGAAGCAAUCAGAUACUUCUUACUACAUACUGAAUAUAUCCUUUUUCCAGGACAUGAAUCUUACAAUAAAUAUGUCGCUUUUUCUGAUGACCGAAGAAAUCAGUAGUCCUGUUAACUUUUUACCUAGAGAGUUAAAUAUGACCAAUUUUUGAAAGAAAAAUCCUUAAUUCCUGAAAAAAAGGGGGAGUUUUAACAGAUGUUAAAACAUCUAUAAAAUGUAAAUGCUCAAUCACAAUGAUAUUCAGAAUACUCUACAACUUUUUUCUAAGUUAGAUGAAAAUUUAGUAACAUAACAGUAGAAUAUUGGAUAGCAUAGAGUUAGUUUUAUUUUGCUACAGUGUUACAGAUUGUUAUAUUGUAUUAUUGUACUUCUGAAAUAAUGUCUUGUUUCUUUACAAUUCUCUGGCCAAUAAUGCACAUUCAGUUUUUUAUUCCUCUUCCUUGCAUUUACAAUUACAAAAUUUAAUCAGACCAAAAGGCUGAUUCUAAAGGUUAAAUACACUAUAGUAUAAACAAUUAUUACAAAUUAUUAAUUAAAUUAUUAAUAAAAAGAAGCAGAUUGUUUCAGCAAAAAAUUUUUCAAUAUGACAAUUUCAAUCCAUGAAAAACAAAACAAAACAAGAAAUUACCAAAAACCAACCAAGCAAACAAGCAGAAGCAGUAUACAAGUCUAAAUGUUACUGUGAGUUUAACCAACGUCUGGAAAGAAUAAUGGAAGAAAACAGCUGUUUCAUUAAAAACUUGAGUCAAAUAACUCAGGAAAAAUUCUUACACCAGAUCCUCAUCUGCUGUAAAUUGUUGUGGCUGUGUUACCUUCUUGAACAUUUAGAAAGGACUGUUCAUGUAGGUAUCACAGCAAGUUUCACUGAGUGAGGAUCUGUCUACUGAGUAGGGCAAAUUACAUGUAUUUUGAACAAAUUCAUUGAGUCAGUGACUUUGUCAAUCAAUCUUAUUCCAGGACUUCUACUUUUGUAUCUCUUUGUUUCAGCUGUAAAGUGAAGGCUUAUGCAAAGUGAACUAAAUCUUAUCAAUCAAAGAGUCCGCAUCUUCAGUGACUGCAAUUCUUUGAAGUGUUGGGAGAAACAGAAAUAUUUAUCAUGUUCUCAAGGUGGUUUCUGAAGCUUUCAACCUUGUAUCUAGAUUACAGCCAAUGCCUCUUUCGUCAGCCCUUUUUAGACUGUUAAAUCAGCAGUUUAAAAAGACGUUCUCAGCAUGGGAAGCACAGGGGAACUAGGACACAUAAUCAAUCUUCAGACUCCCAAGAAACCUGCUAACGGGAUUUUAUUUCUGUAGUCAUCCAAAGGAUUAGACUGCUUGCUAAAACACCUUCACUCACUCUCUACCUCUUACUCUUUGUGUGCCUUAGCCCUUUUUCCUCUCUCUGUGAUACAAUAAUGCCUAUUUUUUUCUUUUUAAUUGUUUUUGUAAAAUAUCCACUGCUACUUUUUCACUCGGCCAAGUACAUUCUGCAGUGAGAUCACAGCUGCUUAUAACACUUGAAAGAUACACUCAGCACAGUAUCUUCAAUAAAAAAGUAACCCAAACCCUACUAUAGGGUUUAUUAGUGCUUUUUGGAAGUUCAUCCAGAAAGAAAAUAGCAAUAGCUUUUAUAUCUGUCAUUAACUGCAUGCUAUCAUAGAACUAAAGAAGUUAAUAUCUUCUCAAGCUAGUGGUGUCUUGAUCAUUGAUAAGUAGAAGCUUAUAUUUACUGUGCAGUGUUUUAAUUCCCUCUGGCACCUUACUCACUUCUGAAUGCACAAUUUGGUUUAUAAGUAUUGUUCCACUUUCUUACAUGCCACACUGUGUUCUCUCAUUGUUUUCUGUUCCUUUAAGCCAUUUCCCUGAGAUACUGUAAUAAUCUCGAUAUCUUCCAGUCACUUCAUUAGUCUCCUCUGGUAGCCAUCCUCAUAGUGAGCUCUUGACAGCACUCAUCAAUUCUGGAUGCUUCAAUUAAUUGAACCAGCACCUAUCUUCUCUCUGCUUCUGUUAGCUCCUUCCACCAGUACUUUGAAACACCCAGCAAAGCAAUACUGUGGGACAGUAACAGCUCAGUGACUUCAGCACAGUGAGAAUGGGCCAAUAGUUUAAUCAGAAAUUUUAGUCAGAAAUAUCCUGCCAUCUCCCCCUGCUCCAAAUUCAAUUUUCAACUCUGUUUCUAGGGACUCAUAAUAACAUAGAAACCAAGAGAGAUAGAUGAAAUAUACUUUUUUUGAUUUUUUUCCCUACUUAGUAGGGGUAUGCUGUUUCCUAGAUUGAUGAACUCAUGAGAGAGUGAAGUCAGAGGCCUUAAAGAAAAUGUACAAUCCUUUCCCGUUGUCCUCUAUUCGUGCAUCUGGGAUCCACAUUGAACUAAGGAGGAAGAAACACUCUUUGCUGUAAUCUUCCAUUGGAGUAUAUACUUGCUGGUAAGUGCUUUUAAAUUAAUACUUGUGUAUUUCCCAUUAAUCUGUUGGGUUUAUACUUUUAACCAUACCAACUAAUUUGGGAUCUGUCCCAAUGCAAAGACAAAUUACAUCUACUCUUCUGCAGCUGUUCAGUAGGAUGUCACCAAGUUUAUUAUAAGGUAGUCACCUCUAAUUAGAAAAAAAAAAAAAGUAAGUUAGUCCAGAAGGAGAAUUAGAGUUUUAAUCAAUAUCCUUGCUCAGAAAUGUUCCUAUUUCUUUUAUUUCCUUUUUUAUUUCUUCCUUUUUGCUAGCAAGCAGAACUAUUAUGAAGGUACUAUGGUGCAAUUGAGUGCAUGUUAUAAUUGAAUAGAGAACAACAUUUUUGCUAUAGUUGUGACAAUUGUCUUCCUGUAAAGUGUGCUGUUUCUCUAGAGUAACUUGGAUCUCAUAAACAAUGAAUUUGAAUGUCUUAUACAGCUUGUUAGUUAUUGACAGUAAAGGAAUGAUCCAAUUAGUAAGUGAUUAAUCACAGGUUUCUUUAGGUCUCAAACUGUGUAUUGAAAAUUUAUGGAAUAAAAGAGUAUUUCAUGCAUAUCUUCACCUAAUGGGUAAUCACCACCUGAGAAUGAGAACUAUUUUAGAAAACGAACAACAUGAGCAGUAGCACAAAGUACUAAUUAUUUGAUUAAUUUUCCUUGUCACUGAGAAACAUACCUUUGCCAGGCAAUCAUAAUUAUAAUGAUAUUAAAAUUAAUUAAUAUUUUAUUGUCCACAAACAGAAAUGAAAAUAUUCAACAUUUCCAGCUUAACCAACUAUUUGGCAUUUCAACAGCAUAUGAAAAUAAAAUUUGCUAUACAGAAUUUAAUUGCAAGAUUAUGAGACAUGAGAAAAUGUGCAUAAUUUCAAAGACUGAAAAGGUUUAAAUGCUAUUUUUAGAGAAACCUUCUUAAUGUGGAAAGUGAAAUGUUCACCACCAGUGAAAUAAUAAAGGAAGUACAUAAUCCUUUAAAUAAAAUAUAAAAUAUUCAUAUUUUUAUUUUGUGGAUGUACAAAUGUUUGUAGCAUGUGCAUUGCAGUAUGAUUUAUCAAGCUAUAUUGUACUGCCCCAUUAUUAUAUGAUUUCAGUUGUUCAGUCACUAAAAGUAUCUACCAAUUUUUCUUUAUUCCAGGCUAAACAAUCAUGACGAAAUUUCAGAUAAAUACUAACCUUAUUAUGCUUAAAUCUGACAGCCAUGUGGAAUAUAAUAAUGGUGUUUUAAUAAAGUAGAUGAUGAAAUAUGAUAGAAAAAUAUAGACUUGUCAGGGCUGAACUAUAGCCCCCAAAUCUUUUCAGUUUUGCAAUAAAAUAAUUCAACCCAUAUUCAGCAUAGAAAAAAUGGAAGACUUCUUAAAUAAUAUUUCAUAUGCUGCUUGUUUAAAGAAACGUAUUCUUGAUCUUGGUGUACUCUCUGUAUCUCAGCUGCAAGACUGACCUAGGCACCCUGCGUUCCCUUCGUAGGCAAUAGAGAAAACUGGGACUUCAUCAACGUAAUUCUUUUCAUCUCAAAGUAGACGGUUAAAAUAUAUGGGCUAAAAGCACUCAUUUUUCAGAAUUGGCUGCAAGAGUACUUUGAAGUCACAUAGGUUUCAACUUUAUUCUUUUUGUCUUUCCAACUCAGUAUAAGACUGUAGAUUCAUCAGAGAAAGUAGCUUUGACUGAGCAUAAUCUGCCUUCAGUAAACCAGGGAAAAUAAAGGCAAGAAAGGAUUCCUUUGGAAGACUAUCUUUGUGGUCCUGUCUAUAGUUAUCUUUCAUGGGCACAAUAUGACAGAAUAGACGAAGAGCUAGUGGAGUUGAAGAUUUCUCAAAUCAUGCAAUUUCUGAAGAGCUGGUUGCUCAGUUUUUAUUUAUGCUUCUUCUCUAGCUGAUUUUCAAAAAAUAAAAAUCACUUGACAGAUUUGUCUGUGCUUUGCAUUCACCAUUAAAAAAUACAGACUGAGCUACUUCACAGAAAAACUCUACAGAUAGCAUUACUGGCCUUUAUGACACCAAACUAUUGUUGUGCUUGACCUUUAGCUGGUAACUGCCAGUAGAUUUCUAACAGGCUUUUUCUAAAAGAAUUAAAUGAUGAAUAAAGACAGCUCUGGACUUGUUUGCUGAAUAAAAGCAAAAGUAAUAGUUUUGCUGAAUUUAUUCAGACAGCCUGGGUAAUGAUAUCAUAAACAGAGAAACUAUCCUGACAGAAUACAAAAAUCUGACUUUUCACAUUGAUGGUAUAUUGACCUUCUUUCAUCUUUCAUCCUUCCCUUAUAUUUAGAGGGACAGUAGACAAGUGUGUCAAGGUAAUUUUUCUGGAGUUCUUAGAAUUUAUUGCAUCUAGUCAAAUUAUUUCUUAUUAUUGUGACUGGUUUGGAAACUGUGCUAUAGAUAUUUAUGUCUUCUUUUAACCAUCAUCAGAAUAGAACAAUUAAGUUCUGAUUCUGGCUUUUCCUACUUUUUAAUAGUGAUUCUGAAACACAUUGAAUGCUUAGUAGUGUGUCAGAAACACAAGCCAUUCCUAAAUGUAGGUCUGUGGGGUUCUUCUCAGGGCUCUGACAAUUUUUUAUUCUAGUACAGGGAGGUUUUGUUACUUUUACUGUUUUAUUUCAGUUCAUGUUAAAAAUUUUUUUUUACUUGUUUAUCAGUCCUGAUUUGUUCCAAUUUGAUUCAUUCCCACCUCUAACUUAAAUGAAACUAGGAAGGUGCAUCAAGAGAAAGCAAAACUGCUGUUGGACUUACAUAGCAUUUGAAUGAGUUCUGUGAAAGUCACGUUAGAAAAGACAGAGGGUAACACGCUUUAGCUGAUGACAGAGCAGGAUUUAUUUCUUCUGUCGUUCCUGAGGAACCUGCAUAAAUUUUUCAUGACUGUAUUAAUGAGUAUGUAGAUGAAGUAAAAAUUAUGCCAAUAUUCCUGUUGCAUGGGCUGAUUUGAAUCAACCAGAUAGAGGAUAAGCAUAUCUCUUUUUCAUUGUGAACUGUAAUCCUGAAUCUUUUGAAUAUCAGAUUUGGUUUAUUAAAAUAUGAUUUUUAUUAACCAAUGCAUGAAAAUUAACAAGAAAACACAACUAGUCCAAAAUGUAGAUUGUGUUUUAUUUACAGUAUGCACUAGACCCAUAUUCCACAAACUAGACUGGUUUUCAGUUUGUCUCUGGGAACACCUAUAUUUUUCCAGAGUGUUUUCUUUUGCAGUGUAACAGAACUUGAACUUGUGGACAUUUGGGGUUUGUUGCAAAACUCUAUUCCUUGCUUAAGCCUUUAAAAAAAAAAAUUAUUUUUUAUUUGUCUGUGAAACGUUUAAACCCUUCAGAAGAUAAAGUUUUCAUUGGGUCAGUGACAUGGUCCUGGUCAUACUGAGACAUUUAAAGAGGAGAAUAAUUGUGUUUUGGGAGAAAUCAUUGGAUACAAAUAUUGGCUAAGUUAUUAUAUUUUGUAAGGUAUUUAGAAAUUGGGCAAGAAUUUAAUGUCUUGGGUUGGAGUGCAGGAAUUUUUUCUUAAUAUAAUGAAUUUAAUAGAUCUAGCACCUUUCUUCUGCCUUCAAGCCAAUUAGGUAUCUUUCACAAAAUUUUAACAUGAAACCACCAUAUGACCUGAUUCUGGUGUGAGUCUUAUGUUGUGUAGAUGACUCAGACAAUAGAUGGACUCAGCGUUUGUAUUUCUCAGACAGUUUCCCACUGUUUUUUGUCCAUGGUUGUUCAGGUAGAAUAGAUAUCUACCUAUCUGAUUUACUUACACUGUCACAUAGAUCAUGUUAUGUAAUUUAUCUUUCAAAUUUUUCAUGGAUAAAGAAAUUGAAAUUAUACAAGUAGGCCCUACUCUCACUUCAAGGUUCCUUUAAAAUAAUCAGAAAGAAAGAAGUUAAUAUGGCUGAAUCAAUUGAAAGAGUUUUACAAAAUUUUGUUGGCCUAACUUUUAGAAAGACAGCAAGACAGAGAACGGAAGAACCUUAACUUGAAUCUCAAAGGUCUAUCGCUUAAAAGCUUCCAUUUUCAUGAACUGUGUGAAAUGAAAAAGCAUUCCAGAAUGCAGACAGUGCCCCAGAAAGUUUUUUGAAGCUCUCUUGGCUUUCAGAGAGAGAAUAAGCAGAAAGACACAGAGUAUCAUUUUAGUCCCAAAGAAAAUAUUUAAUUCUCUAUUUGUUAUUGAAUAUUAGAAUUCCAUGGGUUGAUUCAGAGAACUUUAAUUAAAUUCCCCCCAGGCAGACUUUUAGGUGCUGACUCCAAACUUACCUGAUAUUAGAAGACAAAUUUGCCAGUGAAAUUAAGUCUAAGUGUGUAAGUUACAGCAGCCUCAAGAUAGUAGCGAAUUCCACACUGGUAAUUAAGGUUCAUUUAUAAAACUGUUUAUUCUGGUUUAGUGGAAAGGUAUUAUUAUUUCCCUUGAUAAAUAUUUGAGGUACUCUUCAUCUUUUAAAAGUAUCUAAUCUAAAAGCAGAAAAAAGCAAAAUAAUAUAAUUUGUACGCUACUCCCUUUGUUUCUCUUCUGCAUUUUUGAGAGGGGUGUUAUUUUUAUGUAGCAGAAGGCUACAGCACCUGGGAUGCCAAACUCUAUGCAUGUCUAAAGUAGACUGAAGAUCUGCAGAACAUACUGCAACAAGCAGUCAGCACUGGUAGGCACUCCACAUAGAGCCACAAUGCUAAUUCUCCUUUUUCUCUUCAUAUCUUUUAAGAUAUUAUUUUAAAAAAAAUUCACAUUAUAUGUACCCUGGAUUAUUUUCUUUGUCUUUAAGUUACCAAGAUAAGUUAUGUAAAAUGUGUCCUAUAUUUGAUUUUUUUUCUCAAUUAUUUAUCAUAUGAUGAUAUGGUUAAUGAAAGAAAAUGCCUCUGUGCAGAAAUAGGUUGAUGUAUUUUCAUCUCUAGACUAGGAGACAGGUUCUGCUGAAAUGUAGGAGGAAAUCUGAGAUAUUGCACUUAAAGGAUUUCAUUCAGGCUCAUGUAACUUAGUGCUACAAUUAAUAAACAUGCACAUUGAGUUCUUCCAUACACUUGGUGUGCAUAUGCCUCUGCUAACAACAGAAGAUAAUGUGCUCUUUAAAAUAUUUUCAAAUAUGGCUCUUCCAACAUGGGUGAUAGAAUAGUGCAUUCUUCACUCAAAGUUCACAGAAAAGGUAUUCAGAACUACUAAUGGCAAUAAAGAAUAAAACACUCUCCCAAAUGCUCUUCCAAAAAUGUACAGGUACUUUUUUUAGAGGUUAAAAGGAAAGCAAUCCUACUAUAACAGUAACAAAAAUCACAAUAAUAAUAAUAAUAACAGUGAGAAUACUAAUCCUACCUAAACCAGGGCAAAAUACACAGUGAAAAUCCAGCAAUGCAUAUAGCAACAUUUUACAGUAUGGUAAACAAACACAGGUGUGAUACUGGAUCUGAAUCUCACUGAAUUAUUGAUAUGGAUUGGAACCAACUCACUGUGUGUGGGGGGGGCGGGAAGGACUGGGCCCAGACCUACAGGUCCAUGAUAAGGCCUGCAGAGAGCACAUGGUUUGCAGCCCACAAGGCUGAGCUGAGAUGUCAGUCAAGGAAGACCCACCUGGUAGCCCAUCCACACCAUGCCCCUGGAGCCUGUGACUGGCUACAGCACAUCUCACUCUAACCUGGAAGGCACUGACCAGAUAUCCUGCCUGGGAUGGAAAACUAAACUGUAUAAAUACAGGAGACUCCAUGUGAGCUCUUUUCUCUAUUUUCUUCUGCUGCCUGAACCACGUGAAUCAUCAAAUCUUGUCACUAACUAUUUUUCCCUUCCUGUCUUGCCUUCCCUCUUUCUAUUCUCUUUUUUCUCUCUUUCUUUACUCCUUUAAUCUGUUUUCUUCUUUUACGCUUUUCUUUCUCUUGUGGAUAGCUUAAAACCAAUUAAUUGUAUUAAGCUGCUAUAUUGAUUGAUUGCAAUAGGUGUUUUCUGUGAACUGAUUUUUUGUGAUGGGUGUUUUAAUAAAGUGCUUUUCUUGGUUGUAUUUUACUCCUGUAAAACCUGUUGCCAAAAUAUCUUAUUUUUCUCACUAAAUUAAAAAGAAUUUCUCUUAGAGAA
Molecule: long non-coding RNA, 9801 nt
Organism: Myiozetetes cayanensis
Lineage: Eukaryota; Metazoa; Chordata; Aves; Passeriformes; Tyrannidae
Exons: 2
Source: RefSeq, a predicted model, not a curated record